AACGAACGCUGGCGGCGCGUCUUAAACAUGCAAGUCGAACGGCAGGAAGGGGCUCGCCCCUUCUGAGAGUGGCGGACUGGUGAGUAACACGUGGGUGACAUACCUUUUAGUUGGGGAUAGCUAUUAGAAAUAGUAGGUAAUACCGAAUGUGACCGUAUUUAUUAGAAGGAUACGAGGAAAGGAGCUAAGGCUUCGCUAAAAGAAUGGCUCGCGGCCCAUUAUGCUAGUUGGUGAGGUAACGGCCCACCAAGGCGAUGAUGGGUAUCCGGCCUGAGAGGGUGAACGGACACAUUGGGACUGAGAUACGGCCCAGACUUCUACGGGAGGCAGCAGUUAAGAAUAUUCCGCAAUGGACGCAAGUCUGACGGAGCGACGCCGCGUGGAUGAAGAAUGCCGAAAGGUUGUAAAAUCCUUUUAAGCCUGAUGAAUAAGCACAAUAGGGAAUGAUUGUGCGGUGACCGUAGGGCUUGAAUAAGCACCGGCUAAUUACGUGCCAGCAGCCGCGGUAACACGUAAGGUGCGAGCGUUGUUCGGAAUUAUUGGGCGUAAAGGGCAUGUAGGCGGAUAGGCAAGCUUGGUGUGAAAUGUUACAGCUUAACUGUGAGACAGCAUUGAGAACUGCCGAUCUUGAAUUACUGAAGGGUAACCAGAAUUCCACGUGUAGGGGUGAAAUCUGUAGAUAUGUGGAAGAAUACCAAUGGCGAAGGCAGGUUACCGGCAGAUAAUUGACGCUGAGGUGCGAAAGUGCGGGGAGCGAACAGG
Molecule: ribosomal RNA, 762 nt
Filed under: uncultured Treponema sp.
Lineage: Bacteria; Pseudomonadati; Spirochaetota; Spirochaetia; Treponematales; Treponemataceae
Description: bacterial SSU rRNA
Rfam family: Bacterial small subunit ribosomal RNA
Source: RNAcentral